Long non-coding RNA from Vicia villosa (hairy vetch), 566 nucleotides. RefSeq lists it as uncharacterized. The transcript has 4 exons. Lineage: Eukaryota; Viridiplantae; Streptophyta; Magnoliopsida; Fabales; Fabaceae. The record is from RefSeq and is a predicted model, not a curated record.
GUAGACAAAACCAAACACAAUUUCAAUAUUUCCCUCUCUUUCUCUCUUUUACUUUCAUUCGGCUUCCUCAUUCUCUCUCUACACUAAACCUCCGAUUUUUCCAUUGCUACUUCGCGCAUUCCACAGGAAAGGGUAUAAUUCUGGGGCUUCCAUGACAUGUUCUGGUUGUCAAAGAAGUGGUAUGAGUAUAUCUAUGAGGCAUUUGGGUGCUAAUUAGAUUCAACAAAUGAAACAUCUUUGCAGUGAAUAUAAGGAAGUGGUAUGAAUAUUUCUAUGAAUAUUCCUAACACUGCAAUUUUUUAUAGGAUGAACUAGAGGUGGCCCUAACAGAUUUAAAAGCCAUUGUGCUGCAGCAUUAGGAAUUAAAGAUUGAGUUGGAAAUAUAUAGAGAUAAUGAUAUGGAUGCCUUUGAAACAAUGAAGGAAGCAAUUGAAGUUGCUCAUACAUCAGCUAACAAUAUUUUCACUCUGAAGUAAUGGUGUUCAAACAACUUCUCUAAGGCUAAGGAACACCUUGAAAAUAUGUACAAGGAGGUCAGUCAUUUCAGUUUAAUGCUUCAAUCUGCA